Molecule: non-coding RNA, 73 nt
Organism: Bos taurus (domestic cattle)
Lineage: Eukaryota; Metazoa; Chordata; Mammalia; Artiodactyla; Bovidae
Source: Rfam
CCCCUGGAGAUCCAGUGGUUAGGACGCUGCACUUUCACUGCUGAGGGCGCAGGUUUGAUCCCUGGUCAGGGAA